CUCAAAACAGAAGUGGAGAUCUUGAGUUUUCCUUUAGAAGGUCUAUCCACCUUCCUUGAGAAGGAGAACAGUGGAAUUCUGUGAACCAGAGAAAUGUAGGCAGCUGGGAGUCGAACUUAAGCACCAGUAUGAAUCUAUGGUUAUCAUCCAAACUAAAGGGAAUGAAAGCUUUACUCUGAAGGAACUGGGUCCAGUGCCAGGACCUGUGAUAGGUGCUGAGAGAGGUCAGUGAUUGGCUGUGGCACCUGCCCUUAUGCUGUGUACUCUCUGGCAUGAUUCUCCUUCCACCUGAAUGGUAGACUUCCCCUUGGUGAUACAGUGCAUUGAACUACAUUAUAGAAUUAGUCUUCAUUUUUAACAUGUUUGUAGAUAAUAAAACAAAGGUUCAAAGAAGUCAAGUUGUUUGCUCAAGAUCACACAGCUGGGGCCUUAGCCAAGAACCUAGAAGGAUAGAAAAGGAAGAUUUUUUCUUCCUCUCCUUUACACCCAGCGCUGGUAGCCUUCUCUCAUCGUUCAGUUCCA
Molecule: long non-coding RNA, 522 nt
Filed under: Homo sapiens (human)
Lineage: Eukaryota; Metazoa; Chordata; Mammalia; Primates; Hominidae
Description: HSALNT0369281
Source: RNAcentral